ACCCACUGAGCCACCCAGGCACCCCGAUCCUGGUGUAUUUUACCAAUUCCUCCUGUAUUUGACUUUAAACUAGUAUACUUUAAAUUACAUUUGAUAUAUACCUCUCUUUUCUUUAUAUUUUAUUUAUUGAAGGGUGCGGUCUGUUUACUCACGUGCAAGGCUAGCAGUGACAUCGGCAAGGCAUAGAUAUGACUGGUGGCCACUGCAGGUAGUAGGAUAAUCUUGGCUCCCUCUCUGAAGUGAGAGGGGAGGGAUUGGGAGCGCACUGUAGGAAAAGGAAGCUUACCCUUCUCUCCUGAGGUCACACAAUCCCUAUUAUCUCUGGUCCACUUAACUUUGCAAAUGUGACUAGGAGUCGCUGCUCCUCUUCUCUGGGCAUCUGCCCUUUCUGUUUCUGGUGAUGAACUGGCAAGAGGAGCAAGACAUCCCAGAACUCUGACACACAUAAAGGAUAACAUUGGGGUGGGUCUUGGUUCUGGGACAUAGUGGAAAAAGGACUUAUUGGUCAUGCAUCUUAAACUAUUUGGUAAAAAAAUGAUUCAUUGGAAAGUUCUGAUUUUCUCACAUGAGUCUUUGUCUUACCUAGGCCCUUAGCCUUGCUAACCAUUUGUUUGAAGUCAUCACUUACUGGACAGAAAGACCAUGUAGCCCCUGAGGCUUGAAGAAGAUGGUGGUGGAGGCUGAACACAUAUACCUGUAUUUUUAUUUCUGUGAAACUGACUCAACCAGAAAAUUCCUGUUCUCCCUUCUCUUUCCUCGAAAAACACAUACAUGCUCAUCCACCCCCACCCCACUGCUCUCACACACAUUCCGAGGAUAAAUUUGAGCAGAAGGAUAGCUGCUCAUAUUUUUUAAGCUUAAUUCAACAAUAUUAAUUCUGUUCAAUAAACUUAAUAAAAUGGAAAUAAAGUGGUUUCCUUUCUUCUUUAAGGAAGGAGAGAUUUAGGAAGCUGAGCAGAUCCCUGGAGUAUAUUAGUCAUGCCAUUUCAUUUCUGCAUUCAGGAUUCAGAUGGCAUGUCCAUGCAGCUCAUCAAACUCUACAGACAAGGGACACAACAUCUGGAUUGACCCAUAAAAGUCCAUGUCCCAGAUCAGAGCCUCUAGUAGAACAUUAUUCUCUCACACACACUUUUGGAGACAUUUCAAGGCAAAAAAUGAUUAAUAGUCCAUUGAUAUGAAUCUCCACUUGUGCUUGAUUUGACCUUUCAAGAUUUCUGGAUUUAAGAAUGAAGAAAUUUAGAUCAGAGAGCCAACUGGAUGGAAGAAUUUUGCUGCUUGAAGGGCUGGGAAGGGCUGAGAGGAUUUGGUUUCCCUCUGGAUUCACCACCUGGCUCGACGCAGCUGCACAAGUGAUCUAAGAUAUGCACUAAAGAAGUCACCAGUGUGAGUAAACCCACCAGUGGAGCUCACAAUCUAUACCAACAAGUGCAGAGUCCUCAUUGCGUCUGACAAGACCCUACCUGGGCCAGUCUUUUAGGGCUCCUCUCUAUUCCUCCCUGCAUCCAAUAUGGGACUGCAGCAACAUCAAACUGCUCUUGGUUUUCCGUGUACAUUGACUGGACUGCUUCAGCUGCCUCCCUCACACUGGAGCCCUACUCCCUUCCUACUAUUUGUUUGAGGCUUCAUUCACCCCAGGCCUCCUCUCGAUAAAUGGGUUUCCCUCAUCCCUCCACGCUGGCUCAUGCUUCCCUUUUCUGUUUGCUCCCGGCAGCCUGUGGAUCUUUAUCCGUCACCAGUCACACUGUCCUUAAUGUUUACAUAUCCUGACACCCUGUUCAGACUGGGAACUCAUAAGGAAUGAGGCUCAUUCCUCCUUAUACCCCCAAUCCCAGGGGCAUAUCCCUGCCAGAAUAGGGGGCCCAUUACAUGAUCAGUGAAUAGGGAGCUGCAGGACCAAAGCAGGAGUGAGAGAACAUGUAGAUGGGGCAGCUGUUGGACGAUGUGUGCACCCUGUUUCUCAAGGAGAAAAGGAGAUGGUGAGGAAUAAAUUUGGGGGCAGAAUAUCAGAGUAUGGAGUAAGAUAUGAAGCCACUGAAGGUAAAAGCCAAGUGAGAUAGAAAAGGGAGUUCAAAGAAGGAGGUACAGUCUGCAAUGGGUUUUGCUGGAGAAGCCAAGCAGUGCAGGGAAGCAAAGCCAGGUAAGAUUCAGUGUUCUGUGCCCUCAAAGAGCUUACAGUAUAUUAAGGUGGAUUAUAUAGGAACAUAAUCAGCCCCUCAGAAGAAGGCAGAAUAAAACUGAACACUACUGGGUAGCUUUACCCAAACUGUUAUGUUAUUUGAUGUUAAUAGAUGUUCUAUUUAAAAAAGAUUUCUUGGGGUACCUGGGUUGCUCAGCUGGUUAAGCAACUGCCUAUGGCUCAGAUCAUAAUCCUGGAGUCCUAGAAUUGAGUCCAUCAUUGGGCACCCUGUUGAGAGGAGAGUCUGCUUCUCCUACUGACCUCCCCCACCUCAUGCUCUCUCUCUCUUUCAGAUAAAUAAAGAAAAUCUUUUAAAAAAAUAGUUCUUUCAUCAAAAAUAGUUUGACAAUGCUGGGUUUGUUCCUGCAGACUUUUCAGAACUUUUGUGUGCUAAUGUGCACAACUCUUUCAAGAAGAUAGACCUUGCAGGGAUUUUGAAGCCUAUCUGUGAAUGGGUCCUUUAAAGGAAGUGAGUUGAGAAACACUUGGAGAUGACUCAAGGAUAUCUGUGCUUCUUCAAAUAUUGUUUGGGAAAUGCUACAGAGGAAGGAAUUCUAAGGGGGUGACACACUUUGGUUUGGAGGUUAAAAGCCUUCCUUCCUUUCACAUGCUUGCCUGUUUAGUGAAUGGCACUGAUGUCUUGCACUAGGUUUUGACCCCUCAGUGCCUGAUCCAGUUCUGGUCAUGGCAGGAGAAUAUGUGUAAACUCGGAACCACUGGGGAAACCCAGAGGCUGAUAUGUCACUGAAGCCUGGGGUGGCUUCCUCUAGAGCCCAGCUCUGUGUGCCCAGCAGGCACAUGUCAGCUUGGACCAGGACUCUUGUUUUGAUAAAUGUAAGUGCGUUGUCAGCCACAUCCUUUGCUUGCAUGCAUUCCCAUUUCUCUGCUAACUGGUAGGCUCAGGGCCAAGUUGUGUUAGAUGGUCCUGUCCUUUUGCCACAGCUAAGCAGACCAGGUGUGGACACCUCAUUUAAACUGAGUCGCUGUGUUUAGCCUUGGGACUUUGAAGAAGCAGCCUGGGGUCUUCAUCAGACAGUGUUGGCAAGGUUGCCAAAAGAAGAGCAAAGCUAAGCCCAGAUGGCACAGCAUCAAGGACCUGGGGGAGCUGCUGUUGUAGGUACAUGGAAACGAGGAGUCCAGUCCCAAGAAGAACUAUCUUCAUGCCCAAAUGAGGAGAACCAAGGUGAUUGAGAAAUAACCCAGCCCAGACUUCAAGGCGGGAGAUGAAGACGGCCUCAAGUGACUUUGAAUUGUUUCAAGGAAGAUUUUGACACUGGAUUCCUAAAUUCCUGUUAUGUUUCCCACUUGAGAUGCCAUUUCUGCAAGCUGUCUUGUCUAUCUAGCCACUUGGGAAUCUUUGAAUGGGAGCCACCCUAAAGAUUACAA
Long non-coding RNA from Mustela erminea (ermine), 3562 nucleotides. RefSeq lists it as uncharacterized. The record is from RefSeq and is a predicted model, not a curated record. The transcript is spliced from 5 exons. NCBI's taxonomy places the organism in Eukaryota, Metazoa, Chordata, Mammalia, Carnivora, Mustelidae.